RNAcentral lists this ribosomal RNA (301 nucleotides) under uncultured bacterium. RNAcentral's name for it is "partial 16S ribosomal RNA". It matches the Rfam family "Bacterial small subunit ribosomal RNA", at positions 509 to 809 of the family's 1533-position model. The record is from RNAcentral.
CAGUCGCCGCGGUAAUACAGAGGGUGCGAGCGUUAAUCGGAUUUACUGGGCGUAAAGCGUGCGUAGGCGGCUUUUUAAGUCGGAUGUGAAAUCCCUGAGCUUAACUUAGGAAUUGCAUUCGAUACUGGGAAGCUAGAGUAUGGGAGAGGAUGGUAGAAUUCCAGGUGUAGCGGUGAAAUGCGUAGAGAUCUGGAGGAAUACCGAUGGCGAAGGCAGCCAUCUGGCCUAAUACUGACGCUGAGGUACGAAAGCAUGGGGAGCAAACAGGAUUAGAUUCCCCAGUAGUCCCUGUCUCUUAUAU